RNAcentral lists this long non-coding RNA (5412 nucleotides) under Canis lupus familiaris (dog). RNAcentral's name for it is "lncRNA (ENSCAFG00040005819.1)". The record is from RNAcentral. Lineage: Eukaryota; Metazoa; Chordata; Mammalia; Carnivora; Canidae.
AUGCACCGGGAGCCCGAUGUGGGAUUCGAUCCUGGGUCUCCAGGAUCGCGCCCUGGGCCAAAGGCAGGCGCCAAACCGCUGCGCCACCCAGGGAUCCCCGGGAUGGCUAUUUCUAAAGGGGAAAUUAGAGCUCCAAAGGGUCGAGCGAUUUCCCUAAGGUCCUAUAACGAGAGGGUGAUAGGACCAGAUUUCGAAUCCACAUCUGCUGUGACUUCAAAAACAGCGUGUCACUCUCGACGACCUGGCCUGUCCCUGCCACUUGACCUCGGCUCGCACGUCUUGCAGACCCUGCACCCUCACCUCCCUGCCCCCCACUUCAGCCUUACAUUUAGCCACAACCUAACUGGAGUUGCCAAUCUUGUGCUUGAGUCAAUACUCAUCUUAUUUGCGAAGACCUCGUUGUCUGGUACUUUUGUUUAAUUUGAUUUAAUAUAGUGGAUGUAUUUCUUGUGUCUGGAGUUAAUUACAAGUUUCCCUGAGGCAGAAUUCUUGCCUUAAGCUUUUUCUUAUUUCUACCUCUGCCCCCUAGCUCCCAACCUAUCACAUUAUAUUCAUCAAAUAAAUCAUUCAAUAAAUGUUGGCCGGUUGACUGACUGAAAUCAAAGUAAGUUUCUCUGUGCCUUCCUUAUUCCUGGGGAGCAUUAAUUUUUCCUUCCAAAAGUAAAAGGGAAGAAAAACUAAUAUAUAUUGUAUAAAGGUGUUAAAAUGCACAUCGCAUGAAUCUUGAGUUAGAAUAUACAUUCCUGGAGGCAAAUGUGUUGGUUGGCAGCUACAGCAAAUCAUGCCAACUUGUUCAUUCAAUAGUACUUGUUGCAUGCAUACUACGUGCCAGAACUUUUCUAAUCCCGCACACGGCAGGGACCAAACAGACUAAAAUCUAGGUCUUCACGGAGCUUACAUGUCAAGGGACAAGACAGACAAUACAUGAAAUAACUCUGUAAAACACAUAGUUUGUUAAACUGUGAUUUACCAGUAAGUGCUUUGGGGAAAAAUAAAUCCGAAAAGGAGUUUAGGGAGUUUCAAGAGUACAAAUGCAACUUAAAAUAGGGUGCUCAGUGUUUUCCCUACCUGGCAUAAAAUAAUUGAUACGAUACCUAAGUAUAAUACAAUUAAGAUUUUCUUGGAUCAGUUUGCCUCAGGAAAUAUGACGAGGAAUAUUUUUCUUAUGAUUUAAUUUUAGUUGGCUUUUAACAAAGACUUCAAAAUGGCAGUUUAGGUUCAUUUUUAGUUCAGUGAAGAAUAGUUCUCAUACAUAUGCAGCCUGGAUUCAAUUCUCUUUCUUGGGUUGGAUUAUUACCAAGAUCUUAACAGGGAAAAAUGAAGAAAUAUGGAUGCUUCAGGAAUUGACUAACCACUUAUAGCCUGCAUUAAACAUGCUUUUCUGCAUCCAGAAGCCGACUAGAACCAGAUUAAGAACUAGAAAGGAUUUCUUGGGAAAGGAUCCUUACUUGCAAAAAUAAUUCCGAGACUUGGGCUGAGCUCAAAUUUUUGGAUUUAUGUGGAAAUUCAAGACUUAUCUUUUCAUAUUACCAUGUGAACAAUUUGAGUAAAUAACACAAACUCCCAGAGGUUUUGGUUUCAGAAAGUCUAGAGUUCAAGAAUAUUUUUCAUCUAUCAGCAUUGUCCUUUACUUAAGUAAAGCAUUCCUUUCCCAGUGUUAUACAGUCAUAUCCCCAUUAAUGAAAAAGCUACAUUUCAACAUCACACUUUGUUAUCAAAAAUGCUGUGAUUGAAAUAAUAUAGAAGGCAUUGAAACACAUUCAGGGAGAAAGGAGAGUGGGGAAUAGGGUGUGAAGAUAUUCUUUGGCUGAAAUAAUACCAAAAUGAAGUUACCCCAUUAUAGUAAAGCUAUUGUAUUAGAGUGUAAUCCACUAAUGAGCCAUUCGGUUAACUGACAUUAGAUAAUUUCUAAGUUUUAUUAAAGUUUUAUUGGAGACCUGUAGCUGGGGAGGGUCUGAGGUGAUAGAUGUAUUGAUGCCAGAAGGAAAAAAACAAACAAACAAAAAAAAGGAACAGAAUGGGGAAAAUGAGAAUGCCAACAACAGAUUAUUUCACAAUUUGGCUUAGGGUCUAUGCUAUUAACAGGCAGCUGUGAUAGACCAAGUGUGGGUAGAAGUUGAGGUGUGCGUGUGCGUGUGCAUGUGCGUGCGCAUGGAUAACUUGAGGUGAACGACGACGUGCUAGUAAUGCUUCCUGUAAUUUGUCAAGAAUUUCUACUUGCUCUUUCUUUCCCCCAGAUUUGCUGACUGUGUAGAGAGAUGUUUAGUCUUGGAUAAAUCUCUAAUGAGGUAUUACAUCACCAGAUUACAUAAAUAGAUAGCAUAAAACUACAUGCAAGUAAAAAUAGAUUAAGUAGAUUUCCUUUUCCUAAAACAGCACAGAGAAACUGCUUAUCUGAUAUACAUUAAGGUGAAAUCUAUUUUUGGAUACUUCCUGUACCAAUUCCAACAGAUUUCCAAUUAAACUCUAGCAAACAAUUUGCUUUUGUUUUCCCAGAAACCUCUGGUACAGGAUAGUGGACAGGUGUGCUGUGCUGGAAGUAGGGUUGGUAUCUUAAAGUCUACGAAAACAAGGAAGCAUUCGCAGAGUAAACUGGAGUAAUAAAAAUGAAGGAUUCCUUCAAUUAAGGAUUUUCUACUGGUCUGGAGCAGAAGACUCACAUCACCCCAUUUAACACCACAGAGCAUGUAAUAAAUACCUUUAAUGUAUCGACAAAUCCAUUUGCUAAAUAGAAAAAUCUUGCAAGGAUAUUUUGAAAUGCUUCAUAAUAUAUUAUGUACACUCAGCUGCUUCCAAAUCAAAAGAAUAAAAGCGAAACUGAUUUAAAAUUAGAAAACAAAUUAGAAAACAACUCAAGUAAAUGCAUUUUAGGAUUGAAAAGAAGACUCUUUAGAAGGUCUCCAUCUUCUUUAAAACUGUAUUUUUGAGUAAGUGAUGCUUUUCAUACUUGCUAUCUUUACACUGAAAGGAAUUACAAGAACAGGAUCUUAUAGCUUUAUACUCUUUGGUGAAAUUAGGUCUUUUCUUUACACGAACUAUUCUCAGUUCCCAGAUUCUUGCCAUGUGAUAUGUUUGUGCUUGUCACGUCGUGUCAUGAGUCCACGGCAGCAUCUGAUUUCAACUCAAUCUAAAUAGUUAACAUUUUCAAAUUGCUUCAAUAUUCUUAGAUGAGAGGUUGAAUUGUGGGUUUAGCUCUUCCCCUUCUUUGCAAGGAAUGGGCUCCGGGGCAGUGAUUUGGAUCAGAAACAUGGACUGCCUUCGAUCUACCUGGCGGCCACCACACGAGGCACUGAUAUGUGACUCUCAGGAAGGUUGGGCGGUAUGACGGUUAAGAAGUACUCCUUCCCAGGCCAUUUGUAAAGUCUAGACAUUUAGAAAUAGAUAUGAAAAAAAAAUUUGGCUAGACACUUAGCAUUCUAGGUGACCUGGAUCCCUUAAGGAGCAGAGAAUUAUAAUAGAUACAAGUAAUCCAGGGGAGGAGGUGAAAGGAGCUCUGGCUUGGAGUUGUGUGCCUUCUCAGACGGACACAUCCUCCUCUGGGUGGGAAUAUACACAAGCAAUAGAUUUUUUUUUUGGUUUGUUUUUUUCUUGAAAGAGUUCCUGAGAUGGCUGAUGAAACAGCCCUGCUCACUCAGCUUGCAUGCAGAAGUCAGGUCAAAGUUUUGGUCAAACCUAAGUCAGGGUGUAUCUCUUGGGUCUAGCACUCAAAUCUCAACUCCUAGCUCAGCCAUAUAUGACUGAUAGUCAUGGAAAUGUGUAGAAGAAUAAUAAUGACCAUUUGUUAGUGCUUCCAUUAUACGCCUAGUGUCAUACGCUUUACAUAAGACUAUUUCAUUUAAUUCUUAUAAUGACCUGAUAAAGUAGGAAGUUCUUUUUGGAAUCUAGGGAAAAAAAAGACAUCAACGAGAGAAAUAACUUAUUGUUUAUGUCCUAUUCAUGGUGGAUCAAUAACGCCCACCGUGCCAUGGAGAGGUUAGCGUGCGCUAGGGCAUAUUAAAGUGCUGACUUUUUCUGGAACACUUCAGUAGGCCACCAAGGCGCUUCUGGUCCUCCUCCUACCCCACCCACCGCUCCUUCUCUGUCUCCCUUGCUGAUUUCUCUUCAUCUUAUCAUCUUAAUGUUGCAGUGCCCCAGGGAUCAUUUCUUGGUCCUGUUCUGUAGCUACAGCAUCUAGGUGAGCUCAGCCAGUUCCAGGACUUUAAAUGACAUCUGUAGGCUGACAAACUCUCCAGUUGCGUCCGCUCCAGAUACAUAAACCUAAUUGUCUACACCUAUCGCCACAUGGGUGUUUAAUCGACACUUCAAACCUAAGCAUGUCUAAAUCAGUUUACGAAUACUUUCCUCCCUUGACCAAAUCGGUUUCUGUCUCUACGAUCUCAGUAAACGUGAAGUCCAUUCUCCCAAGAGCCCAGAUCAAAACCUUGGCGAUCAUCUUUGACUCUAUCCUUUCUCUUCUACUCAUAUCGAACCUGUCAGCAAUUCCUGUUUGCUUUAUCUUCUAAACAGGAUCCGAAUCUGACUUUGCUCCGUCACUCUGACUUUAGUCCGGGCCACCCUUAUUUUUCCUUGCAGCCGGGCUAGUCUCCUUACUUGCUCUUACUUCCCUACAUAUACUGCUUAUAUAGCAACCAGCCCCAUCUCCUGAAAAAAAUAAUUUAAAAAUCUUGGACCUUUAAAAACAUACACAUAGAUACAAAUGAAUGAUGACCACCGUCAUACAUCCAUAACUCAGCAUCAAAAAUCAACAUCUGCCAAUCUUUUCCCAUCUAUUCUGUACCCUCUUUUUUUUGGGAGGGGCUGUGUUAUUUUAUUUAUUUAUUUAUUUAUUUAUUUAUUUAUUUAUUUUUAAAGAUUUUAUUUAUUUAUUUGAGAGCAAGUGAGCACAGAGAGAGAGAGAGAGAGAGAGAGGGCGAAGCAGACUCCCUGCUGAGCAGAGGGCCAGAUGUGGGCUCGACCCCACCCCCCGGGGGUCAUGACCUUAGCCAAAGGCAGCCCCUUAACGCAGGGAGCCCCCCAGGCGCCCCUCGGUGGAGUAUUUUAAAACAAAUGCCAGCAAAGGCGUCCUUUUAAUUACCAGGCUAAGUGGCUCGCAAGUUUAAGGUCGCUUCUGUUGCUGGUGGCAGCCCAGCGCGAGUGCCGGCCUUGGAGGCGCGGUGGCCCGUGGAACUGGCGCACGUGCUCUCGGACCCGCCGUCCCUCGCCGUGGCUGCGCGGCAGGUGCACCUGCAGGGCUGCGCCCCCAGGCCCCGCGUGGGCCCCCGGCAGGUGGGCAGCUGCGAGUCGGGGCGGCACACCUGGACGGACACCUGCUGCCCCGCCCGGGGGGCUCUGCUCGGGGCGUCUCCGCGGGCUCCCGCCCGGUCCUGGGGCCUCCCGGCGGCUGCGGCGGGCGCGUCCGAUCGGCCUCGGGGC